UGCUGACGAGCUUGCUAAUCUGGCCAAGUUUUCUAAACCUUCUAUAUGGGUUGAUUGUCCCCCUAGUAUCAUUUGUCCCUCUUCUGAUUCAAGAUGUAACCUAUUUGAGAAAGAGGUCUUUGCUGUAAUGUUUUUUUUACAAUUGGCGAUAUACCAUCGCGGAUCUCAAAGCACCACACUCCUUUCUCAUCCGGCCAGUCAUCUUCAGUUCUUCGCCUUCAUCAUUUCUGUCACCGUGUUUGAUGCCAACGGCGCACAGGCGCAGAUUCGCCAUUACUCGGCUGCGAUGGCGGCUGUUGGCACGGCAUCCAGGCGAGGGCGAGGUCGACCGUAGGGGAGGCGCCGCCCCACGAGGGGGCCCAGCCCAGGAAGUGGAAGUUCGGGGGUGAUGCCGGCCACAUGGAAGCGUCUGGCGCCCCUUGGGCGCGAGGCAGGGGGAUGUGGUCUCGAAGGCCUAAGGAACGGUUGACGUCGGUCGCCGGCAGGAGGAUAGUUAUUAUCUUAUCGACAAUACUGUGCCUGGGCAGACGAAGAGGAGGCCAGAUGGGUCGACGACGUCGAGUAAGGCAAUGGCAAUGUGUUAAGAGUUACACAAUGAGGUGACCAUAUAUGGCUUAUUUGUCAUUUAUGCGAAUGACCUGGAAAAUUGGGAUAGCUGAAAAUAACCAUAGGAAAUCAGUUAUGCUCUAAUGCUGAUUGAUUUCCUCUAAUGCUGAGCUAUAUUUUUCGGUUGCAAGGAACUCUUACCUGAUGAAAAAUGCUUCCAUGAUAGCAAUUGCUAACUAUUCUAAAGGCUCAGGGUGUUACUCCAAAAAACUCAUUUCGAUUUAUCUUUUUUUUUCAUGAUGAAUUAAGUGGCCUUCUCGACAUGCAGUCAUGCAUUACGUUGAUUAAACCAUGUGAAUGGCCUUGCAUUCUGGACAUGCGAAUUGUCAAUGUUCGGUGAAAAUAUGAAGCUAGCUCCCUCCGUGCUUUUGGUAGAAACAUUGAUGUAUUCUGCACAAUUUUGCAUGUGCAAUGUCAUUUUGUUGAUAAAAGGUCUGGGCUUGCAGCUA
Brachypodium distachyon (stiff brome) is the source of this 1055-nucleotide long non-coding RNA. RefSeq lists it as uncharacterized. The transcript is spliced from 2 exons. The record is from RefSeq and is a predicted model, not a curated record. NCBI's taxonomy places the organism in Eukaryota, Viridiplantae, Streptophyta, Magnoliopsida, Poales, Poaceae.